This 406-nucleotide ribosomal RNA is filed under the name uncultured bacterium. RNAcentral's name for it is "partial 16S ribosomal RNA". It matches the Rfam family "Bacterial small subunit ribosomal RNA", at positions 30 to 526 of the family's 1533-position model. The record is from RNAcentral.
AUUGAACGAUGGCGGCAGGCCUAACACAUGCGCGUCGAAUGAGUGGCGUACGGGUGAGUAAUGUAUGGGAAACUGCAUGAUGGAGGUGGAUAACUACUGGAACCGCUUGCUACUAUCGUAUACCAUCGGAUGUUCCCAGAUGGGAUUAGCUGGUAGGUGGGGUAAAGGCUCACCUGGGAGAAGCUCCCUAGCUGGUCUGAGAGGAUUACCAGCCACACGGGAACUGAGACACGGUCCAGACUCCUACGUGAGGCAGCGGUGGGGGAGAUGCCACAAUUGGCGGAAGCCUGAGGCAGCCAUUCCGCGUGUAUGAAGAAGGCCUUCGGGUUGUAAAGUACUUUCGGCGGGGAGGCGUUACCCGCAGAAGAAGCACCGGCUAACUCCGUGCCAGCAGCCGCGGUAAUAC